GAUUGGCUUUUUGAGAUAUAUUUUCCAACAACUCUCACUUGUCCUAAAGCCACUCGGCACAGUAUCUAAUACCCAUCUUCGACUUGUGGUUGUCGAACUCCUUUAUCGUCAGGGCUUUAGUGAAGAGGUCGGCCAGGUUCUCCUUUCCGUCGAUCUUCUGAAGGUCGACGUCACCUCGAUCCACGAUCUCUCAGACCAGGUGGA
Molecule: long non-coding RNA, 204 nt
Filed under: Elaeis guineensis (African oil palm)
Lineage: Eukaryota; Viridiplantae; Streptophyta; Magnoliopsida; Arecales; Arecaceae
Description: long non-coding RNA (EGUI_LNC068914)
Source: RNAcentral